AUGAGGAUGUGGAGAGCUUGGUGGGUGGUCGUGUACUUCUUUGGAGCAAGAGCUGAAAUCACCCAAACCUCAAGUCUUGUGCUGAAAGAAGAUGAGAAAGCUACUCUGACAUGCAGUCAAAAUGAUAACCACGAUAAUAUGUACUGGUACCUGCAGCAGCCAGGGAAGGGGAUGCAGCUGAUCUAUUAUUCCAUUGGUGCAAAUCAGGAACAAGAGGGUGACAUUCCCACUGGAUACAAAGCUAAGCGGUUAAACAUUGCAAAUUUCAAUCUGGAUAUUCUGUCUGUGAAGAAGAACCAUUCAGCUGUCUAUUUCUGUGCCAGCAGUUUGGACACAACACAUCAAAGAAACUUUGUGAUGUUCCUCAUUCAAAGUCUUGUAGUUCUGCCUGACUUUGAUCUAAGCCCUAAGAUGAACGCUGCUCCAGAAAGCAUCCAUGUCUUGAAGACAAAAAAUGUAGUGGGAUGA
Non-coding RNA from Charadrius vociferus (killdeer), 468 nucleotides. Lineage: Eukaryota; Metazoa; Chordata; Aves; Charadriiformes; Charadriidae. The record is from the annotation of a RefSeq genome assembly.